CCCGACCGCUAUCGGGGUGGGGCUAAGCCAUGGGAGUCGUACGCUCCGGUCACCGGGGCGUGGCGGACGGCUGAGUAACACGUGGCUAACCUACCCUCGGGACGGGGAUAGUCCCGGGAAACUGGGGCUAAUCCCCGAUAGGUGGAGCGGCCUGGAAGGGUCCUCCACCGAAAGGGUGUCGCGGGGAUGUCCGCGGCGCCGCCCGAGGAUGGGGCCACGGCCCAUCAGGUAGUUGGCGGGGUAACGGCCCGCCAAGCCUAUAACGGGUAGGGGCCGUGAGAGCGGGAGCCCCCAGAUGGGCCCUGAGACAAGGGCCCAGGCCCUACGGGGCGCACCAGGCGCGAAAACUCCGCAAUGCGGGCAACCGUGACGGGGCCACCCCGAGUGCCCCGAAGAGGGGCUUUUCCCCGCUGUAGGAAGGCGGGGGAAUAAGCGGGGGGCAAGUCUGGUGUCAGCCGCCGCGGUAAUACCAGCCCCGCGAGUGGUCGGGACGAUUAUUGGGCCUAAAGCGCCCGUAGCCGGCCCGGUAAGUCCUCCCUUAAAGCCCCGGGCACAACCCGGGGACGGGGAGGAUACUGCCGGGCUAGGGGGCGGGAGAGGCCGAGGGUACUCCCGGGGUAGGGGCGAAAUCCGUUAAUCCCGGGAGGACCACCAGUGGCGAAGGCGCUCGGCUGGAACGCGCCCGACGGUGAGGGGCGAAAGCCGGGGGAGCGAACCGGGUUAGAUACCCGGGUAGUCCCGGCUGUAAACGAUGCGGGCUAGGUGUUGGGCGGGUCCUAGAGCCCGCCCAGUGCCGCAGGGAAGCCGUUAAGCCCGCUGCCUGGGGAGUACGGCCGCAAGGCUGAAACUUAAAGGAAUUGGCGGGGGAGCACCACAAGGGGUGGAGUCUGCGGCUUAAUUGGAGUCAACGCCAGGAAUCUCACCGGGGGCGACAGCAGGAUGACGGCCAGGCUGACGACCUUGCCCGACGCGCUGAGAGGAGGUGCAUGGCCGUCGCCAGCUCGUGUCGUGAGAUGUCCGGUUAAGUCCGGCAACGAGCGAGACCCCCGCCCCCAGUUGCGAUCCGGUCCUCCGGGACCGGAGCACACUG
Molecule: ribosomal RNA, 1090 nt
Filed under: uncultured archaeon
Lineage: Archaea
Description: bacterial SSU rRNA
Rfam family: Archaeal small subunit ribosomal RNA
Source: RNAcentral